UCGGGGUACUCGAGCGGCGAACGGGUGAGUAACACGUGAGCAACCUGCCCUAGGCUUUGGGAUAACCCUCGGAAACGGGGGCUAAUACCGGAUAGGACCUGUCACCGCAUGGUGGUGGGUGGAAAGUUUUUUCGGCCUGGGAUGGGCUCGCGGCCUAUCAGCUUGUUGGUGGGGUGAUGGCCUACCAAGGCGACGACGGGUAGCCGGCCUGAGAGGGCGACCGGCCACACUGGGACUGAGACACGGCCCAGACUCCUACGGGAGGCAGCAGUGGGGAAUAUUGCACAAUGGGCGGAAGCCUGAUGCAGCGACGCCGCGUGAGGGAUGACGGCCUUCGGGUUGUAAACCUCUUUCAGCAGGGACGAAGCGUAAGUGACGGUACCUGCAGAAGAAGCGCCGGCCAACUACGUGCCAGCAGCCGCGGUAAGACGUAGGGCGCGAGCGUUGUCCGGAUUUAUUGGGCGUAAAGAGCUCGUAGGCGGCUUGUCGCGUCGACUGUGAAAACCCACAGCUCAACUGUGGGCCUGCAGUCGAUACGGGCAGGCUAGAGUUCGGUAGGGGAGACUGGAAUUCCUGGUGUAGCGGUGAAAUGCGCAGAUAUCAGGAGGAACACCGGUGGCGAAGGCGGGUCUCUGGGCCGAUACUGACG
Molecule: ribosomal RNA, 649 nt
Filed under: Micromonospora sp. PC4040
Lineage: Bacteria; Bacillati; Actinomycetota; Actinomycetes; Micromonosporales; Micromonosporaceae
Description: bacterial SSU rRNA
Rfam family: Bacterial small subunit ribosomal RNA
Source: RNAcentral